Molecule: ribosomal RNA, 483 nt
Filed under: uncultured bacterium
Lineage: Bacteria
Description: partial 16S ribosomal RNA
Rfam family: Bacterial small subunit ribosomal RNA
Source: RNAcentral
GACGAACGCUGGCGGCGUGCUUAACACAUGCAAGUCGAACGAUGAAGCCCAGCUUGCUGGGUGGAAGAGUGGCGAACGGGUGAGUAACACGUGAGUAACCUGCCCCUGACUCUGGGAUAAGCGCUAGAAAUGGCGUCUAAUACUGGAUAUGACCUAUCACCGCAUGGUGUGUAGGUAGAAAGAUUUAUCGGUUGGGGAUGGACUCGCGGCCUAUAAGCUUGUUGGGGAGGUAAUGGCUCACCAAGGCGACGACGGGUAGCCGGCCUGAGAGGGUGACCGGCCACACUGGGACUGAGACACAGACCAGACUCCUACGGGAAGCAGCAGUGGGGAAUAUUGCACAAUGGGCGCAAGCCUGAUGCAGCAACGCCGCGUGAGGGAUGACGGCCUUCGGGUUGUAAACCUCUUUUAGUAGGGAAGAAGCGCAAGUGACGGUACCUGCAGAAAAAGCACCGGCUAACUACGUGCCAGCCGCCGCAGUAA